This 72-nucleotide transfer RNA is filed under the name Sphaerodactylus townsendi. Its description in RNAcentral is "tRNA-Ala". It matches the Rfam family "tRNA". From Rfam's summary of the family: Transfer RNA (tRNA) molecules are approximately 80 nucleotides in length. Their secondary structure includes four short double-helical elements and three loops (D, anti-codon, and T loops). Lineage: Eukaryota; Metazoa; Chordata; Lepidosauria; Squamata; Sphaerodactylidae. The record is from RNAcentral.
GGGGCUGUGGCUCAACGGGAGAGCGUCUGCUUGGCAUACGGAAGGUCCCAGGUUCCAUCCCUGGCAUCUCCA